ACACACGUAGCUCAACUGGAUAGAGCACCGGUCUUCCAAACUGGAGGUUGUGGGUUCGAGUCCCACCGGGUGAC
This 74-nucleotide transfer RNA is filed under the name Mesorhizobium sp. B2-2-4. RNAcentral describes it as "tRNA-Gly". It matches the Rfam family "tRNA". Rfam says of the family: Transfer RNA (tRNA) molecules are approximately 80 nucleotides in length. Their secondary structure includes four short double-helical elements and three loops (D, anti-codon, and T loops). The record is from RNAcentral. Lineage: Bacteria; Pseudomonadati; Pseudomonadota; Alphaproteobacteria; Hyphomicrobiales; Phyllobacteriaceae. RNAcentral also lists the same sequence under 2 other names.